Molecule: long non-coding RNA, 238 nt
Filed under: Pan troglodytes (chimpanzee)
Lineage: Eukaryota; Metazoa; Chordata; Mammalia; Primates; Hominidae
Description: long non-coding RNA NONPTRT003690
Source: RNAcentral
CCUGCCUCAUCAAGGUAUGGCCAGCUAGGCAGGGCAAGCUCAAACCCCUUUCUCCAGGUCAUUCUACUCCUCAGUCACCUUCAACGGUCUUCCUCUUCCAGGCAGCUCUCCUAGGUUACCUAGGAAUAAAGCCUGAAGAAUAGCACCAUUUAAAAUCUUCCUUGGCAGCCGGGCGCUAUGGCUUAUGCCUGUAAUCCCACCCCACCUCUACUAAAAAUACAAAAAUUAGCUGGGCAUG